This 253-nucleotide ribosomal RNA is filed under the name uncultured bacterium. Its description in RNAcentral is "partial 16S ribosomal RNA". It matches the Rfam family "Bacterial small subunit ribosomal RNA", at positions 524 to 776 of the family's 1533-position model. The record is from RNAcentral.
UACGUAGGGGGCAAGCGUUGUCCGGAUUUAUUGGGCGUAAAGAGCGUGUAGGCGGUCAGGUAGGUCCGUUGUGAAAACUCGAGGCUCAACCUCGAGCUGUCGGCGGAAACUGCUUGGCUAGAGUCCGGAAGAGGAGAGUGGAAUUCCUGGUGUAGCGGUGAAAUGCGCAGAUAUCAGGAAGAACACCUAUGGCGAAGGCAGCGCUCUGGGACGGUACUGACGCUGAGACGCGAAAGCGUGGGGAGCGAACAGG